This 253-nucleotide ribosomal RNA is filed under the name uncultured bacterium. Its description in RNAcentral is "partial 16S ribosomal RNA". It matches the Rfam family "Bacterial small subunit ribosomal RNA", at positions 524 to 776 of the family's 1533-position model. The record is from RNAcentral.
UACGUAGGGGGCGAGCGUUAUCCGGAAUUACUGGGCGUAAAGCGCACGCAGGCGGUUCGCCAAGUUUGGAGUGACAGUUGUCGGCUCAACCGACAAAGGACUUCAAAAACUGGUGAACUUGAGGACGAGAGAGGAACGUGGAACUCCAGGUGUAGUAGUGAAAUGCGUAGAUAUCUGGAAGAACACCAAUGGCGAAGGCAAUGUUCUGGCUCGUUUCUGACGCUCAGGUGCGAAAGCCAGGGGAGCGAACGGG